Molecule: ribosomal RNA, 1507 nt
Filed under: metagenome
Description: bacterial LSU rRNA
Rfam family: Bacterial large subunit ribosomal RNA
Source: RNAcentral
UUAGCAUUCAGAAGUGAGAAUGUUGACAUGAGUAGCGAUAAAGAGUGUGAGAGACACUCUCGCCGAAAGUCCAAGGGUUCCUGCUUAAAGCUAAUCUGAGCAGGGUGAGCCGACCCCUAAGGCGAGGCCGAAAGGCGUAGUCGAUGGGAACCAGGUUAAUAUUCCUGGGCCAGGAGGAAGUGACGGAUCGCAAAGCUUGUUCGACCUUAUCGGAUUGGUCGGGCCUGUCAGCGGUUCCUGGAAAUAGCCCUCCAUGAGAUCGUACCCUAAACCGACACAGGUGGACUGGUAGAGCAUACCAAGGCGCUUGAGAGAACUGCGUUGAAGGAACUCGGCAAAAUGCCUCCGUAACUUCGGGAGAAGGAGGCCCCGUCCGUGGGCAACCAUGGGCGGGGGGCACAAACUAGGGGGUGGCGACUGUUUACUAAAAACACAGGACUCUGCGAAGCCCAAAGGCGACGUAUAGGGUCUGACGCCUGCCCGGUGCUGGAAGGUUAAAGGGAGGGGUGCAAGCUCCGAACUGAAGCCCCAGUAAACGGCGGCCGUAACGAUAACGGUCCUAAGGUAGCGAAAUUCCUUGUCGGGUAAGUUCCGACCUGCACGAAUGGCGUAACGACUUCCCCGCUGUCUCCAACGCAGACUCAGCGAAAUUGAACUCCCCGUGAAGAUGCGGGGUUCCCGCGGUCAGACGGAAAGACUCCGUGCACCUUUACUACAGCUUCACACUGGCAUCAGGCCAGGCAUGUGCAGGAUAGGUGGCAGGCUUUGAAGCGGGGACGCCAGUUCCCGUGGAGCCGUCCUUGAGAUAUCACCCUUGCCUUGCCUGAUGUCUAACCGCGGACCGUCAUCCGGUUCCGGGACCCUGUGUGGCGGGUAGUUUGACUGGGGCGGUCGCCUCCCAAAUAGUAACGGAGGCGCGCGAUGGUGGGCUCAGGUUGGUCGGAAAUCAACCGUCGAGUGCAAUGGCAUAAGCCCGCCUGACUGCGAGACUGACAAGUCGAGCAGAGACGAAAGUCGGCCAUAGUGAUCCGGUGGUCCCGUGUGGAAGGGCCAUCGCUCAACGGAUAAAAGGUACGCCGGGGAUAAUAGGCUGAUACUGCCCAAGAGUCCAUAUCGACGGCAGUGUUUGGCACCUCGAUGUCGGCUCAUCACAUCCUGGGGCUGGAGAAGGUCCCAAGGGUACGGCUGUUCGCCGUUUAAAGUGGUACGUGAGCUGGGUUUAGAACGUCGUGAGACAGUUCGGUCCCUAUCUGCCGUGGGUGUCGGAGACUUGAGAGGAGUUGCCCCUAGUACGAGAGGACCGGGGUGAACGUUCCACUGGUGGACCUGUUGUCGUGCCAACGGCAGUGCAGGGUAGCUAUGAACGGACAGGAUAACCGCUGAAGGCAUCUAAGCGGGAAGCCCCCCUCAAAACCAGGUCUCCCUUGAGGGCCGUGGAAGACCACCACGUCGAUAGGCCGGAGGUGUAAGCGCAGCAAUGCGUUCAGCUGACCGGUACUAAUCGCCC